Molecule: non-coding RNA, 894 nt
Organism: Pelobates cultripes (western spadefoot toad)
Lineage: Eukaryota; Metazoa; Chordata; Amphibia; Anura; Pelobatidae
Source: the annotation of a GenBank genome assembly
GCUGUGCAGUACUUCCCUCUUGUCGGUCACUGCAUGUAGCGUGGCCGAGCAGAUGGACUGCAGCCGAUAAACUAACCUGUCGUGACAGUUUGGAAAGCUGUGCUUUACAGCAUGUGAACAGAUAGAUAUAGAUAUAUAUAUAUUCCCUAACCACACACAGACCCCUUCACUCACUACACUGCAAGCAGCUGCCUCUAUACACACUUUCCUGGACCAAUUCUGUCUGCUGCUAUCCCACUUAUCGGGUCCCCGAAGCAAUUCACCAGUAAACACAGCACAAGCGUGUCAUUAAUUAUUUGGUUAAAUUACUUCUUCCCAGGCUACCUAUAAGCCGAUUGUAAAGCUGAAUAUGCAGUUAAAAUAGUGAAGGAUUUGUGCAAGAAAGCUAAAUUAGAUGGCAGAGACCCAUCAAAUGGAGGAAGCAUACCAUAUAAAGUCAUGAAACGUAGUCCAGCUCAGCAGCUGAUAUCAAGGAGUUUAAAUACUUCUUUACCAGUAGCCAACAAAUUAUUAAGGCCUUGUGUGAUAAUGUACCAGAAAAACUGCCCCAGGGAAAACUCAUGUACACAUCAAUGUAGGAAGCAUCUGUCAAAGGCUUACUGAAUCGAAUUAUAAAAAAAUGCCUGCAUGAAGCCACUCCGUGCUGAUAGGACUGGUUGCAGUAGGCUGGUUAUCUGUGCAUGUUGUACAUUUCACACAAUGCUGUUGAAACAAUGAUUUUUAAGGGAUGGCCCUGGGACAUCUUUGCUCAACCGAAUAGCUAACAAGAACUUAAUGUGAACCUGGAAUGAAAAAUGUCACACAUGAGAAAUAGGAUCUCUCCCACUGAAUACACCAUAUAUCACAAAUAUAUAUGAAGUAUUCAGUGUAAAAUGUAUGGAUUUUUUAACUUUC